UAAAAAGUUCAAGGAAAUCACAUCUUUCAAACACACCUGAGCUACCACUCUAUGACCCCUGUAAUCAAUUAUUGCCAUGGCUAGAUUAUGAAGUCCAGGGACAUCAGCUUCCUGGUAUGCCUUGGUGCCCUUCAAAUCAUUAUUUGCAGAAGCAUAUGUAGCCUGCUCACUCUCAGCCAACUGGGAUUCAGAAGACACUUGAGCCAAUUCCACAACACCAUUGGAUUCCCCUGCAUUCUCACCAUAGGAGAUUCCACCAUCUGCGCUAGUGAAAUUAUGGGAAGCCUUUCCAGAUGAAUUGAUUGAAAUGAUAUCUGAUGCCCGUUUCCUCGACAGAUGAUUGAGGUCUGAAUCCACAGCAAAACUGAAGAAUAUAUUGUUGUGCACAUACCUAACAUCAAAGUUAAUGACCGUUUUAGUGUUACUGAUGAGCACACUCAAAAUUCCAUAUUUGGAAUCAUGCAAAAACCAAAAGUAGGGUUAGGAAGCAUGGACACAUAGAGAUUUGAAUGCACCAUAAACUCCACUUAUGCUCAUUAUCUAAGUUCAUCUACUAAAUUGUUCCGAAACAGAAUCAGUGUGACAGAAUCAGUGUGACAAUCCUAAAGGAAAGUCAGAAAAAGAGAGAAUAAGAUCAUCUUCCUUCCUCAGUCUGUGCAUUAGGAACUUGUUAACAGAGUGUGAAAUGAUAUUAAAAGGCAGUUAAUUAAAGUACAUAUUUUUCAACCAGUACAAAGCAUCUUCCACAGUCCGUGCAUUAGGAACUUGUUAACAGAGUGUGAAAUGAUAUUAAAAGGCAGUUAAUUAAAGUACAUAUUUUUCAACCAGUACAAAGCAUCUUCCACAGUCCGUGCAUUAGGAACUUGUUAACAGAGUGUGAAAUGAUAUUAAAAGGCAGUUAAUUAAAGUACAUAUUUUUCAACCAGUACAAAGCAUCUUCCACAGUCCGUGCAUUAGGAACUUGUUAACAGAGUGUGAAAUGAUAUUAAAAGGCAGUUAAUUAAAGUACAUAUUUUUCAACCAGUACAAAGCAUCUUCCACAGUCCGUGCAUUAGGAACUUGUUAACAGAGUGUGAAAUGAUAUUAAAAGGCAGUUAAUUAAAGUACAUAUUUUUCAACCAGUACAAAGCAUCUUCCACAGUCCGUGCAUUAGGAACUUGUUAACAGAGUGUGAAAUGAUAUUAAAAGGCAGUUAAUUAAAGUACAUAUUUUUCAACCAGUACAAAGCAUCUUCCACAGUCCGUGCAUUAGGAAAUUAACUACAUAUGUAAAGUCUAAGAACCCAGGAAUUUUAUAAAAAAGGAGAUUUGAACCAUAUUUUCCAAAAAUUACAAAAAGCUGUUCGCUUAGAACAUACAAAAAUGGAACAGAAUAAGUUUCUCAAUUUAAUGUGAAAUAUCUUGAAUUUUACAUUUCACCUCACCUUUGAAUGAAAAUCUUCAUUCCAGCUAAUUUUCUUGCCAUUGUCAACAGAACCAUAAAGAAGGGAGUCUGAUUUAUCCCCUUGAAGAAUGCCAGGCAGAACACUCUACAAAAGAAUGUGCAAAGUACCCAAUACGAUGGCAGCUUAGAUAAAAUAAAAUCAAGCAACAAAAAGAUACUGAUCAAUCAAUCAAGUUAACAGGGUAAACUUCAAGGAAUACCCCUAGUAAAAAGUUCAAGGAAAUCACAUCUUUCAAACACACCUGAGCUACCACUCUAUGACCCCUGUAAUCAAUUAUUGCCAUGGCUAGAUUAUGAAGUCCAGGGACAUCAGCUUCCUGGUAUGCCUUGGUGCCCUUCAAAUCAUUAUUUGCAGAAGCAUAUGUAGCCUGCUCACUCUCAGCCAACUGGGAUUCAGAAGACACUUGAGCCAAUUCCACAACACCAUUGGAUUCCCCUGCAUUCUCACCAUAGGAGAUUCCACCAUCUGCGCUAGUGAAAUUAUGGGAAGCCUUUCCAGAUGAAUUGAUUGAAAUGAUAUCUGAUGCCCGUUUCCUCGACAGAUGAUUGAGGUCUGAAUCCACAGCAAAACUGAAGAAUAUAUUGUUGUGCACAUACCUAACAUCAAAGUUAAUGACCGUUUUAGUGUUACUGAUGAGCACACUCAAAAUUCCAUAUUUGGAAUCAUGCAAAAACCAAAAGUAGGGUUAGGAAGCAUGGACACAUAGAGAUUUGAAUGCACCAUAAACUCCACUUAUGCUCAUUAUCUAAGUUCAUCUACUAAAUUGUUCCGAAACAGAAUCAGUGUGACAGAAUCAGUGUGACAAUCCUAAAGGAAAGUCAGAAA
RNAcentral lists this long non-coding RNA (2269 nucleotides) under Citrus sinensis (sweet orange). Its description in RNAcentral is "long non-coding RNA (CSIN_LNC002773)". Lineage: Eukaryota; Viridiplantae; Streptophyta; Magnoliopsida; Sapindales; Rutaceae. The record is from RNAcentral.